Molecule: ribosomal RNA, 315 nt
Filed under: uncultured bacterium
Lineage: Bacteria
Description: bacterial SSU rRNA
Rfam family: Bacterial small subunit ribosomal RNA
Source: RNAcentral
GAUGAACGCUAGCUACAGGCUUAACACAUGCAAGUCGAGGGGCAGCGGGAUUGAAGCUUGCUUCAAUUGCCGGCGACCGGCGCACGGGUGAGUAACGCGUAUCCAACCUUCCGCUUACUCGGGGAUAGCCUUUCGAAAGAAAGAUUAAUACCCGAUGGUAUCUUAAGCACGCAUGAGAUUAAGAUUAAAGAUUUAUCGGUAAGCGAUGGGGAUGCGUUCCAUUAGGCAGUUGGCGGGGUAACGGCCCACCAAACCUACGAUGGAUAGGGGUUCUGAGAGGAAGGUCCCCCACAUUGGUACUGAGACACGGACCAA